GACGGGGGGGGCAAGCGUUGUUCGGAAUUACUGGGCGUAAAGGGUCUGUAGGUGGCUUGCUAAGUCAGACGUGAAAUCCCUCAGCUUAACUGGGGAACUGCGUCUGAGACUGGCGAGCUUGAGUGCAGGAGAGGAACGCGGAAUUCCAGGUGUAGCGGUGAAAUGCGUAGAUAUCUGGAGGAACACCGGUGGCGAAGGCGGCGUUCUGGACUGCAACUGACACUGAGAGACGAAAGCCAGGGGAGCAAACGGG
Molecule: ribosomal RNA, 253 nt
Filed under: uncultured bacterium
Lineage: Bacteria
Description: partial 16S ribosomal RNA
Rfam family: Bacterial small subunit ribosomal RNA
Source: RNAcentral